UAAAAAGCUCGUAGUUGAAUUUCGAGACUAAUAUGUUGGUCGUGCCUCGGUACGUACUGAUAUUUUUGGUUUCUCCCUUCUGACGAACCUUGAUGUCAUUAAUUUGGUGUCUUGGGAAAUCAGGACUGUUACUUUGAAAAAAUUAGAGUGUUUAAAGCAGGCUCACGCUUGAAUACAUUAGCAUGGAAUAAUGAAAUAGGACGUUUGAUUCUAUUUUGUUGGUUUCUAGGAUCGACGUAAUGAUUAAUAGGGAUAGUUGGGGGCAUUAGUAUUCAAUUGUCAGAGGUGAAAUUCUUGGAUUUAUUGAAGACUAACUACUGCGAAAGCAUUUGCCAAGGAUGUUUUCAUUAAUCAAGAACGAAAGUUAGGGGAUCGAAGACGAUCAGAUACCGUCGUAGUCUUAACCAUAAACUAUGCCGACUAGGGAUCGGAUGAUGUUAAUUUUUUAAUGACUCAUUCGGCGCCUUACGGG
Molecule: ribosomal RNA, 472 nt
Filed under: uncultured Glomus
Lineage: Eukaryota; Fungi; Glomeromycota; Glomeromycetes; Glomerales; Glomeraceae
Description: SSU rRNA
Rfam family: Eukaryotic small subunit ribosomal RNA
Source: RNAcentral